This is a long non-coding RNA of Chiroxiphia lanceolata (lance-tailed manakin), 254 nucleotides long. RefSeq lists it as uncharacterized. The record is from RefSeq and is a predicted model, not a curated record. Lineage: Eukaryota; Metazoa; Chordata; Aves; Passeriformes; Pipridae. The transcript is spliced from 3 exons.
AGAGCAAAGCAGUGGAGUGGGGUGUUGAAGUGCCAGUGGGGCCAGGCUUGGUUCAGUGGAGGCUGCAGGGAACAGCAGACCUUCAUGGAAGUUGUGCUGCACCAGAAACUGUGAGCAUUGGAGACAUUGCUAGUAAGGACAAGACAGACUUUGAAGCAAUUCUGCAGAAGUGGAACUGCAUACAUGUGCUCUUACCAACACCAUACACUGGCUGUGGGGAAAGCUUUUGCUUUUUACAGCUUCUCAUGUACAGG